GCCUUGAUAGUUUAAUUGGUAAAACACUCGACCGAUAAUCGGGCGUUUCUGGUUCGAGUCCAGAUCGAGGUACCA
This 75-nucleotide transfer RNA is filed under the name Gammaproteobacteria bacterium. RNAcentral's name for it is "tRNA-Ile". It matches the Rfam family "tRNA". From Rfam's summary of the family: Transfer RNA (tRNA) molecules are approximately 80 nucleotides in length. The record is from RNAcentral. Lineage: Bacteria; Pseudomonadati; Pseudomonadota; Gammaproteobacteria.